RNAcentral lists this transfer RNA (57 nucleotides) under Aegista diversifamilia. RNAcentral's name for it is "tRNA-Lys". Lineage: Eukaryota; Metazoa; Mollusca; Gastropoda; Stylommatophora; Camaenidae. The record is from RNAcentral.
UUUUUAUGGCCGAGUAGGCCCUAGAUUUUUAAUCUAGUCACGGGUUGCCCUAUGCGC